AUGAACGCUAGCGACAGGCUUAACACAUGCAAGUCGAGGGGUAACAGGGUGUAGCAAUACACCGCUGACGACCGGCGCACGGGUGAGUAACGCGUAUGCAACCUGCCUUUGACAGAGGUAUAGCCCAUGGAAACGUGGAUUAAUACCUCAUAGUCUCUUUUUCCUUCCUGGGGAAUAGAGUAAAACGAGAGUGGUCAAAGAUGGGCAUGCGUCCUAUUAGGCAGUUGGCGGGGUAACGGCCCACCAAACCGAUGAUAGGUAGGGGUUCUGAGAGGAAGGUCCCCCACACUGGUACUGAGACACGGACCAGACUCCUACGGGAGGCAGCAGUGAGGAAUAUUGGUCAAUGGUCGAGAGACUGAACCAGCCAAGUCGCGUGAGGGAAGACUGCCCUAUGGGUUGUAAACCUCUUUUCUACUGGGAGAAUAAGCCUUAUGUAUAAGGUGAUGACAGUACAGUAGGAAUAAGCAUCGGCUAACUCCGUGCCAGCAGCCGCGGUAAUACGGAGGAUGCGAGCGUUAUCCGGAUUUAUUGGGUUUAAAGGGUGCGUAGGCGGCUUUAUAAGUUAGUGGUAAAAUUUCGGAGCUUCACUCCGGUCCGCCAUUAAAACUGUAGAGCUAGAGAAUGGACGAGGUAGGCGGAAUAAGUUAAGUAGCGGUGAAAUGCAUAGAUAUAACUUAGAACUCCGAUAGCGAAGGCAGCUUACCAGACCAUAACUGACGCUGAUGCACGAGAGCGUGGGUAGCGAACAGGAUUAGAUACCCUGGUAGUCCACGCCGUAAACCAUGCUCACCGGCCCUUAGCGAUAAGACAGUUAGGGGUUAAUUGAAAAGAUUAAGUGAGCCCCCUGGGGGAGUACGUCGGCAACCAUGAACCUCAAAGGAAUUGACCGGGGGCCCCCACAAGCGGAGGAACCUGGGGGUUUAAUUCGAUGAUACGCGAGGAACCUUACCUGGGUUUAAAUGUAUAUUGCAUAAUCUGAAAACAGUUUUUCUCUUCGGAGCUAUAUACAAGGUGCUGCAUGGUUGUCGUCAGCUCGUGCCGUGAGGUGUCGGGUUAAGUCCCAUAACGAGCGCAACCCUUACCGUUAGUUGCUAGCAUGUAAUGAUGAGCACUCUAGCGGGACUGCCACCGUAAGGUGAGAGGAAGGGGGGGAUGACGUCAAAUCAGCACGGCCCUUACAUCCAGGGCGACACACGUGUUACAAUGGCCAUAACAGCGGGUAGCUACCGGGUGACCGGAUGCAAAUCUCGAAAAUUGGUCUAAGUUCGGAUUGGAGUCUGCAACCCGACUCCAUGAAGUUGGAUUCGCUAGUAAUCGCGCAUCAGCCAUGGCGCGGUGAAUACGUUCCCGGGCCUUGUACACACCGCCCGUCAAGCCAUGGAAGCUGGGAGUACAAGAAGUCCGUAACCGCGAGGAUCGGCCUAGGGUA
Molecule: ribosomal RNA, 1432 nt
Filed under: uncultured organism
Description: 16S ribosomal RNA
Rfam family: Bacterial small subunit ribosomal RNA
Source: RNAcentral